GUAGGUGAACCUGCGGAAGGAUCAUUACCAAUCCAAAAAAAAAAACUUUAUCCACCCCCUUAUGUGCACCAAGAAUGGUUCCGUCCCCUGGAUACUGAGAGAGUGAGAGUGAGAGAGAGAGAGUGAGUGAGAAAAAAAAACUUUUUUUUUCUUUCUUUUCUUCCCUCCGUCUCUGUCUUUCUCGACAUUUCAUUCCAGGGGAUGUUCAUUUUUCAACACCUUUUUAACCCAUACCUCAUUUUUGCCAUGC
RNAcentral lists this unclassified non-coding RNA (250 nucleotides) under plant metagenome. Its description in RNAcentral is "partial contains small subunit ribosomal RNA, internal transcribed spacer 1, and 5.8S ribosomal RNA". The record is from RNAcentral.